GUGGAAACAUUGGGGGAAAUGCUACGCUCAAUUUCAAUUUUCUGUGCUGAAUUUCAGAGGCUGCGAAACGGCGAUUCAAGAUAAAAUAAAAAAUAAAUAAAUUAAAGCGUCCUAUUUGAUUGCCGUUUUUCCUGAUCAGAGGAAUGUGGCCUACACAGCAGACCAAGAUCAGCAUCAUAUCAAGAUGACAUGCACAUGCUCCAUGCUGCAAAAGCCAGAAAGUGUUCUAGUUUUCCAAACAUGCUCCACUCUAUGUAUAUGAAGUGCUUUCACAGAUCUUGUGAGUGUGUCUUUUCAGCCUAGUCUGUACGUGCAUUUCAAUUGAAAUGGAAAACUUUUCUAUUGGAGCAUGUUUUGAAGCUCUUGAUAAGCUAACAUCAGCAGAUUUUGAAGGCGAAAGCCAUUGCUAUGAGGAAGCACUGGAGAGGAGGCUAAAUAUCUUAAACUACUGGCUGGAGAAGGAAGAAAAUGUCAACCUUAAGUCAUCAUUACAUGAUAUUUUACUCUCAGAUGACUUUCAGUGGCAUGGAGACUGUAAUAUCAAUGUGCGUCUCUCGCUGGCGGUGCUGGCGCUGCUGGAGCUGCUGCGCCGCUGCCUGGAGGCGGCGCGCGCCUCC
Long non-coding RNA from Amphibalanus amphitrite, 617 nucleotides. RefSeq lists it as uncharacterized. Lineage: Eukaryota; Metazoa; Arthropoda; Thecostraca; Balanomorpha; Balanidae. The record is from RefSeq and is a predicted model, not a curated record. The transcript has 3 exons.